RNAcentral lists this ribosomal RNA (192 nucleotides) under uncultured Bacteroidota bacterium. Its description in RNAcentral is "uncultured Bacteroidetes bacterium partial 16S ribosomal RNA". It matches the Rfam family "Bacterial small subunit ribosomal RNA", at positions 335 to 524 of the family's 1533-position model. The record is from RNAcentral. Lineage: Bacteria; Pseudomonadati; Bacteroidota.
ACUCCUACGGGAGGCAGCAGUAAGGAAUAUUGGACAAUGCCCGCAAGGGUGAUCCAGCCAUGCCGCGUGCAGGAAGACGGCCCUAUGGGUUGUAAACUGCUUUUACACCGGAGAAAACCCCCCUACGUGUAGGGGGCUGAUAGUAUGGUGAGAAUAAGCAUCGGCUAACUUCGUGCCAGCAGCCGCGGUAAU